UGGAUUGAUUCUUGUUCUGUUGAUUCUGGCUUGAGUUCUUGCUGUUCCGAUCCUCUUUUCUUUUUCACAGGUUCGACAUCUUCAUUUUCGUCCCUCUUCUUCGUCUCCGAGAAAGUCUCUGCGAUCGUGCUUGAGUUUGCCGCUUUCAGUGGUGAAUUCGCACUCGAAUUGCAGAGCAACGAUUCAAUGAUGAUGAUUCCUUGAUGAAUCUCUGAGAAUCGAAGCCAUUUCAAUGGAUUCUGGUUCUGGAAAUUUCUAGGGUUUUUGGUUUGUUCUUGGUGAUUUUUCUGUUUUGAUCUAACAGAAAAGAGAGAGAAAAUUGAAAUCUGUUUUUGGUGAUGUGUCAAUGAUUGUGUGGAUCUGUGCAGAAUAAUGCUAUUUAUAGACUGC
This 390-nucleotide long non-coding RNA is filed under the name Medicago truncatula (barrel medic). RNAcentral's name for it is "long non-coding RNA (MTRU_LNC006187)". The record is from RNAcentral. Lineage: Eukaryota; Viridiplantae; Streptophyta; Magnoliopsida; Fabales; Fabaceae.